UGGAUGCCUUGGCAGUCAGAGGCGAUGAAAGACGUAGUAACUUGCGAUAAGCCCAGAUUAGGUAGUAACAACCAUUUGAGUCUGGGAUUUCUGAAUGGGGAAACCCACUUAUAUAAGUAAGUAUCAUUAACUGAAUACAUAGGUUAAUGAGGCGAACCGGGGGAACUGAAACAUCUAAGUACCCCGAGGAAAAGAAAUCAACCGAGAUUCCGAAAGUAGCGGC
RNAcentral lists this ribosomal RNA (223 nucleotides) under Vibrio parahaemolyticus. Its description in RNAcentral is "partial 23S ribosomal RNA". It matches the Rfam family "Bacterial large subunit ribosomal RNA", at positions 25 to 250 of the family's 2925-position model. Lineage: Bacteria; Pseudomonadati; Pseudomonadota; Gammaproteobacteria; Vibrionales; Vibrionaceae. The record is from RNAcentral.